GAAUUAUUUCUUCUUAAAUCUUUAAAACUACCCUGUAUUUCAUUGCCGUGAGUGGGAUUUGUGAUUUGUGAUUUGUUUUACGGCUAAAUCUUCGAUUUAAUCUCCGAUUCGAAAUGUCUCGGUGCUUUCCGUACCCACCACCGGGCUAUGCUUUGAGCAGCGCCAGAAAAGAUGCCUUGAUCGAUUCGAUUAAGCUCCAAAAGCCAAAGGUCCAAGCUGAGGAACAGAGGAAGGAGAAGAAAAGGGAUAAAAAGAGAGAAAGAAAGACAAGAGUAGUCUGAAGAAUCUUGGCAACACUGAUAUUGUCUGUAGUCAUUUUGGUGAAAAAUUCUGGAGUGAUGGCCA
Molecule: non-coding RNA, 345 nt
Organism: Salvia hispanica
Lineage: Eukaryota; Viridiplantae; Streptophyta; Magnoliopsida; Lamiales; Lamiaceae
Source: RefSeq, a predicted model, not a curated record